AGAGUUUGAUCCUGGCUCAGGAUGAACGCUGGCGGCGUGCUUAACACAUGCAAGUCGAACGAUCCUUCGGGAUAGUGGCGGACGGGUGAGUAACGCGUGGGAAUCUGCCCUCAGGAGGGGGAUAACGGCUGGAAACGGCCGCUAAUACCCCAUAUGCCGAGAGGUGAAAUGAAUCUCGCCUGAGGAUGAGCCCGCGUCUGAUUAGCUAGUUGGUGGGGUAAAGGCCUACCAAGGCAACGAUCAGUAGCUGGUCUGAGAGGAUGAUCAGCCACACUGGACUGAGACACGGCCCAGACUCCUACGGGAGGCAGCAGUGGGGAAUUUUCCGCAAUGGGCGAAAGCCUGACGGAGCAACGCCGCGUGAGGGAUGAAGGCCUCUGGGCUGUAAACCUCUUUUCUCAAGGAAGAAGACCUGACGGUACUUGAGGAAUAAGCCACGGCUAAUUCCGUGCCAGCAGCCGCGGUAAUACGGGAGUGGCAAGCGUUAUCCGGAAUUAUUGGGCGUAAAGCGUCUGCAGGCGGCCUUGUAAGUCUGUUGUUAAAGCGUGGAGCUCAACUCCAUUUAAGCAAUGGAAACUACAAGGCUGGAGUGUGGUAGGGGCAGAGGGAAUUCCCGGUGUAGCGGUGAAAUGCGUAGAUAUCGGGAAGAACACCAGUGGCGAAGGCGCUCUGCUGGGCCAUAACUGACGCUCAUGGACGAAAGCCAGGGGAGCGAAAGGGAUUAGAUACCCCUGUAGUCCUGGCCGUAAACGAUGAACACUAGGUGUCGGGGGAAUCGACCCCCUCGGUGUCGUAGCCAACGCGUUAAGUGUUCCGCCUGGGGAGUACGCACGCAAGUGUGAAACUCAAAGGAAUUGACGGGGGCCCGCACAAGCGGUGGAGUAUGUGGUUUAAUUCGAUGCAACGCGAAGAACCUUACCAGGGUUUGACAUCCUGCGAACCCCUGAGAAAUCGGGGGGUGCCUUCGGGAGCGCAGAGACAGGUGGUGCAUGGCUGUCGUCAGCUCGUGUCGUGAGAUGUUGGGUUAAGUCCCGCAACGAGCGCAACCCACGUCUUUAGUUGCCAGCAUUCAGUUGGGCACUCUAGAGAGACCGCCGGUGAUAAACCGGAGGAAGGUGUGGAUGACGUCAAGUCAUCAUGCCCCUUACAUCCUGGGCUACACACGUACUACAAUGCUACGGACAAAGGGCAGCAAGCUCGCGAGAGUUAGCAAAUCCCAUAAACCGUGGCUCAGUUCAGAUCGUAGGCUGCAACUCGCCUACGUGAAGGAGGAAUCGCUAGUAAUCGCAGGUCAGCAUACUGCGGUGAAUACGUUCCCGGGCCUUGUACACACCGCCCGUCACACCAUGGAAGUUGGCCAUGCCCGAAGUCGUUACUCCAACCCUUGUGGAGGAGGACGCCGAAGGUGGGGCUGAUGACUGGGGUGAAGUCGUAACAAGGUA
RNAcentral lists this ribosomal RNA (1442 nucleotides) under metagenome. Its description in RNAcentral is "bacterial SSU rRNA". It matches the Rfam family "Bacterial small subunit ribosomal RNA". The record is from RNAcentral.